UGGGGAAUAUUGGACAAUGGGCGCAAGCCUGAUCCAGCCAUGCCGCGUGUGUGAAGAAGGCCUUCGGGUUGUAAAGCACUUUUGUCCGGAAAGAAAUCCUGUCGGCUAAUACCCGGCGGGGAUGACGGUACCGGAAGAAUAAGCACCGGCUAACUUCGUGCCAGCAGCCGCGGUAAUACGAAGGGUGCAAGCGUUACUCGGAAUUACUGGGCGUAAAGCGUGCGUAGGUGGUUUGUUAAGUCUGAUGUGAAAGCCCUGGGCUCAACCUGGGAACUGCAUUGGAUACUGGCUUACUAGAGUGCGGUAGAGGGUGGCGGAAUUCCCGGUGUAGCAGUGAAAUGCGUAGAUAUCGGGAGGAACAUCCGUGGCGAAGGCGGCCACCUGGACCAGCACUGACACUGAGGCACGAAAGCGUGGGGAGCAAACAGGAUUAGAUACCCUGGUAGUCCACGCCCUAAACGAUGCGAACUGGAUGUUGGGAGCAACUAGGCUCUCAGUAUCGAAGCUAACGCGUUAAGUUCGCCGCCUGGGAAGUACGGUCGCAAGACUGAAACUCAAAUGAAUUGAC
RNAcentral lists this ribosomal RNA (568 nucleotides) under uncultured bacterium. RNAcentral describes it as "partial 16S ribosomal RNA". It matches the Rfam family "Bacterial small subunit ribosomal RNA", at positions 355 to 914 of the family's 1533-position model. The record is from RNAcentral.